RNAcentral lists this ribosomal RNA (419 nucleotides) under uncultured bacterium. RNAcentral describes it as "bacterial SSU rRNA". It matches the Rfam family "Bacterial small subunit ribosomal RNA", at positions 340 to 752 of the family's 1533-position model. The record is from RNAcentral.
UACGGAAGGCAGCAGUGGGGAAUAUUGCACAAUGGGCGCAAGCCUGAUGCAGCCAUGCCGCGUGUAUGAAGAAGGCCUUCGGGUUGUAAAGUACUUUCAGCGGGGAGGAAGGCGAUGCGGUUAAUAACCGCGUCGAUUGACGUUACCCGCAGAAGAAGCACCGGCUAACUCCGUGCCAGCAGCCGCGGUAAUACGGAGGGUGCAAGCGUUAAUCGGAAUUACUGGGCGUAAAGCGCACGCAGGCGGUCUGUUAAGUCAGAUGUGAAAUCCCCGGGCUUAACCUGGGAACUGCAUUUUGAACUGGCAGGCUUGAGUCUUGUAGAGGGGGUAGAAUUCCAGGUGUAGCGGUGAAAUGCGUAGAGAUCUGGAGGAAUACCGGUGGCGAAGGCGGCCCCUGGGACAAAGCUGACGCUCAGGGU